RNAcentral lists this ribosomal RNA (504 nucleotides) under Newportia ernsti ernsti. RNAcentral's name for it is "partial 16S ribosomal RNA". It matches the Rfam family "Bacterial large subunit ribosomal RNA", at positions 1816 to 2600 of the family's 2925-position model. The record is from RNAcentral. Lineage: Eukaryota; Metazoa; Arthropoda; Chilopoda; Scolopendromorpha; Scolopocryptopidae.
GGUUCUUUGUUAAUAAGAUAAAGAAUCGAGCCUGCCCAGUGAUGAGAAUUUAACGGCCGCGGUAAUUUAACUGUGCGAAGGUAGCAUAAUCAAUUGUCUAUUAAUUGUAGACUGGAAUGAAUGGUUUAACUAAAAAUUAAUUGUCUUAAUAUUACAUUGAAAUUUUCGUUUUCUUGAGGAGAAGAAAAUGAUCUAAGGGGACGAGAAGACCCUAUUGAGCUUUAUACCUAAAUUAUGGAUAUUUGUGGUGAGUAGAAUAUUAUUGGUAUUUUACUGGGGCGGUAAGAGUUAUUAAAUAUAAAACAAUUUGCUAGAAGGAUACUGAUAAGUGAAAUUUUGAUCCAAUAUUAUUGAGUAUGAGACUAAGUUACUGUAGGGAUAACAGCGUGAUUUUACUUUGAAGUACCAAUUUAUAGUAAAGAUUGCGACCUCGAUGUUGGUUUAGGAUACUUAUUUGGCGCAGAUGCUAAAUUAAGUAGUCUGUUCGACUAUUAAAAUCCUAUA